Small nucleolar RNA from Caenorhabditis elegans, 96 nucleotides. The record is from Ensembl. NCBI's taxonomy places the organism in Eukaryota, Metazoa, Nematoda, Chromadorea, Rhabditida, Rhabditidae.
AGGAAUCUAACCAAUAGCAAUCACUGAGAAAAUCAUCAUCAGCAAUCGGGCCAAAAUCAACUUUCUCCUCUUCUACUACUAUUUGUUCAACUCUUU